This is a non-coding RNA of Chelonoidis abingdonii (Abingdon island giant tortoise), 942 nucleotides long. The record is from the annotation of a RefSeq genome assembly. Lineage: Eukaryota; Metazoa; Chordata; Testudines; Testudinidae.
UUUGACACAGUCUGGCCGUGUGCUGCGUCUGUUGCUCUUUGUACAAUACUAAGAACAGGGGGAAACCACACGGUGGGCGCUGAGUUCCGAACAGCGUCUGGCUACUCACCCACACCGCUUCUCUGGCAGGUUCUGGCGGCUCCUGCAGCAGAAGACAAGGGAGACCGCUAGAGGGCUCCCCGCCCAGACUGUUUAUAGGGAUAAAACCCGGGCAAAUCUGUUUGUCUGCGUAUGAGCUAGAAUUUCUUACAGGUGUCUGCGGAGGUUUGCAGCCCGAGGCUCUCACUUCAGCGGACUCGCCCGAGCUGUCCGAGCUCCGUUGGGUCAGCGGCAGGACUGGAGAUAUUUGAGACCUUCCAAAUGAUUAAACGAGUCUUCCUCGCGCUGGUCCUGGCGCCGUGCGCCCUUUCCCAGCUGCAGCUGGUGGCCUCCGGCCCUGGGGUGGGCAAAGUCUCCGAGCCCCUCACACUGACCUGCGCUGUCUCCGGGUUCUCCAUCAAUACUCAGUAUUACUACUGGCACUGGCUCCGCCAGCCUCCCGGAGAAGGGCUGGAAUCCAUGGGACGGGUAUAUCCAUAUAACGGGGACACGAGCUACGCCCCGUCCCUCCAAGGCCGAAUCACCAUCUCUGCAGACACCGCCAGGAACCAGUUCUCCCUGCAGCUCCGCUCGCUGACAGCUGCAGACACCGGUACCUAUUACUGCGCCAGGAAAGACACGGUGACACAGAGACAGGGGGCCUGGGACAAAAAGGGGGCCAGCCACACGUUUCACCUCCCGGAGAGAUGGUGCCUGAGUUUGCCCCUGCGCUCCGCCCCCUCCCGCUGUCACUUGAAGGAGACGCUUUGUCAGAGGCCACCAGGAAACUGCAGAGAAGGAGAGAAAGAGGAAGCACCUGCGCGUUUGAAUGGGCCGGAGAGAGACUUUGUUACAGGCACCUGA